UUAAUUUAGAUAAUAAAAGGCUGAAAAUUCUGUGAGCGCAACUAGUAAUUCUAGUCACAACGCAGACUUAAUGGAGAGGGAACGGCUCAGCACAGAUUUAGCAAGUUCUUUUCGAAAAAAUUCAAACAAAACCAAGUACAAAUGCUCAAAAUACACAAACAACCCGAAAUGGCGACACAAUCACAGCGUGUGCUCACCCACACUCAGCCCGACGGCGCCUGAAUGGUCACGCUAUCGACAUCCCUGUUUGUACAAUGGUAGCACUGCCGGCGCACUCUCGACCCGACUAGAGUAGCAGCGGCAACACACAUGGCAAAUGCAUUAAUGACACGACCAUAGACAAUAGUCAUUGUAGAAGGCACAAGCGCGAGUUUUACAGUGCUGCCCGGACAGUGUGGCACUGUAGCAGCAGCAGCGGCGAUGCCAAUGGCUGUAGUUGGUAUCGAUGGGAAGUACACGCUGUCCUACGAUAAUUUGUAGGAUUUCAAAAUGGAUCUAUUGGAGCAUGAAAUAUGAACUAUUGUACCCGCAUUUUUCGGAAUUACUGGACUGGUUGGGCUGCUUGGGGAAUGUGCAUAUUAUCUUGGGUUUCUUAUCAGCAGCAUCCUAUGAAAAGUCACUAACGCUGAUCCUCUUUUUCUGUUAAUGUUUCUGUGGGAAAGUGUAAGCCAUCUGCAGAAUCAAGGAAAGUGAAAAGCCAUUUUAGGUGGAUUUUCGUUGCGAUUCGUGCGUUUCUAUACAGACCAUAUAAAAUUCCGACAUAAUUCUGCUUUGAGACUAUCACGAAUUCGCCUUACACAUACAAUUAGGAAACGAUGCUGUUAAUUUACUGCGACGCUGACAACAGCAGCUGACUUUGGCCAAAGCAAUUUAAGUAAGAUAA
Ceratitis capitata (Mediterranean fruit fly) is the source of this 883-nucleotide long non-coding RNA. RefSeq lists it as uncharacterized. The record is from RefSeq and is a predicted model, not a curated record. Lineage: Eukaryota; Metazoa; Arthropoda; Insecta; Diptera; Tephritidae. The transcript is spliced from 3 exons.